UGGGGAAUAUUGGACAAUGGGGGCAACCCUGAUCCAGCGAUGCCGCGUGAGUGAAGAAGACCUUCGGGUUGUAAAGCUCUUUUAGCAGGGAAGAUAAUGACGGUACCUGCAGAAUAAGCCCCGGCAAACUUCGUGCCAGCAGCCGCGGUAAUACGAAGGGGGCUAGCGUUGUUCGGAAUUACUGGGCGUAAAGAGAGCGUAGGCGGCUCUAUAAGUUAGAUGUGAAAGCCCCGGGCUUAACCUGGGAACA
This 250-nucleotide ribosomal RNA is filed under the name uncultured bacterium. Its description in RNAcentral is "partial 16S ribosomal RNA". It matches the Rfam family "Bacterial small subunit ribosomal RNA", at positions 355 to 622 of the family's 1533-position model. The record is from RNAcentral.